AUUGAACGCUGGCGGCAGGCUUAACACAUGCAAGUCGAGCGGUAGCACAAGAGAGCUUGCUCUCUGGGUGACGAGCGGCGGACGGGUGAGUAAUGUCUGGGAAACUGCCUGAUGGAGGGGGAUAACUACUGGAAACGGUAGCUAAUACCGCAUAACGUCGCAAGACCAAAGAGGGGGACCUUCGGGCCUCUUGCCAUCAGAUGUGCCCAGAUGGGAUUAGCUAGUAGGUGGGGUAAUGGCUCACCUAGGCGACGAUCCCUAGCUGGUCUGAGAGGAUGACCAGCCACACUGGAACUGAGACACGGUCCAGACUCCUACGGGAGGCAGCAGUGGGGAAUAUUGCACAAUGGGCGCAAGCCUGAUGCAGCCAUGCCGCGUGUGCGAAGAAGGCCUUCGGGUUGUAAAGCACUUUCAGCGAGGAGGAAGGUAGUGAACUUAAUACGUUCAUCAAUUGACGUUACUCGCAGAAGAAGCACCGGCUAACUCCGUGCCAGCAGCCGCGGUAAUACGGAGGGUGCAAGCGUUAAUCGGAAUUACUGGGCGUAAAGCGCACGCAGGCGGUUUGUUAAGUCAGAUGUGAAAUCCCCGGGCUCAACCUGGGAACUGCAUUUGAAACUGGCAAGCUAGAGUCUCGUAGAGGGGGGUAGAAUUCCAGGUGUAGCGGUGAAAUGCGUAGAGAUCUGGAGGAAUACCGGUGGCGAAGGCGGCCCCCUGGACGAAGACUGACGCUCAGGUGCGAAAGCGUGGGGAGCAAACAGGAUUAGAUACCCUGGUAGUCCACGCUGUAAACGAUGUCGAUUUGGAGGUUGUGCCCUUGAGGCGUGGCUUCCGGAGCUAACGCGUUAAAUCGACCGCCUGGGGAGUACGGCCGCAAGGUUAAAACUCAAAUGAAUUGACGGGGGCCCGCACAAGCGGUGGAGCAUGUGGUUUAAUUCGAUGCAACGCGAAGAACCUUACCUACUCUUGACAUCCAGAGAACUUUCCAGAGAUGGAUUGGUGCCUUCGGGAACUCUGAGACAGGUGCUGCAUGGCUGUCGUCAGCUCGUGUUGUGAAAUGUUGGGUUAAGUCCCGCAACGAGCGCAACCCUUAUCCUUUGUUGCCAGCGGUUCGGCCGGGAACUCAAAGGAGACUGCCAGUGAUAAACUGGAGGAAGGUGGGGGUGACGUCAAGUCAUCAUGGCCCUUACGAGUAGGGCUACACACGUGCUACAAUGGCAUAUACAAAGAGAAGCGACCUCGCGAGAGCAAGCGGACCUCAUAAAGUAUGUCGUAGUCCGGAUUGGAGUCUGCAACUCGACUCCAUGAAGUCGGAAUCGCUAGUAAUCGUAGAUCAGAAUGCUACGGUGAAUACGUUCCCGGGCCU
This 1363-nucleotide ribosomal RNA is filed under the name uncultured bacterium. RNAcentral describes it as "bacterial SSU rRNA". It matches the Rfam family "Bacterial small subunit ribosomal RNA", at positions 28 to 1381 of the family's 1533-position model. The record is from RNAcentral.